UAUCAUUUUAGCCAAAAUCCCGAAACGGUAAUGGGUUUCGUUGGCACAGCGGCCUAAAGGUGACAUCAUAUCGGCAGAGUUUACAGGGGAAUUCACUGGAUCACAAGCAGAUGAGAAAGGCUACAAGAGACAGUAACAUCAGGACGGCUGUUUAGGGUUAAACAUCAAGAAAGAAUGAAGAUUGCAACUAUAUUCUGUCUUUUUGUCUGCUUCACUGUGAGUUGUGCAGCUGAUCUCAAGCCAGGUGGGGCUGGAGAUGCGAUCAAGCAGCUUGGAGAAUCAAGAAUUGAUAGCAUAGUAGAAACAGUAUGCCGUGAUCAUAUACCAGUCGAAGCUUGCAGGGUAUACGUGGCACUGAAAUACUGCCCUUACUCGCAAUGCAUCCCUAGGUAUGGAGCAAAAGCCCGUUAUAUGUGUAAACAAGUGAUUCACGAUUUAAAAAGUGUAUGUGCAAAGACGUGCGGAUACUGCUGAAAAGACAUCAUCCUAAACACACCAUCGAAGACGCUUUAAACCGGAUGCCUUUUGUAAUUUUUGCUAAAGCCUAUUGGCUUAAUAUAUGCAAUUGUUGUGUUAAAACAUUUACUAGAUUAGAUUCAUGUCUUGUGCAUGCAAAAAGCCAAGGCUUCAUAGCAUGACCCGCACCAGCAGUGAUAUACAGGGGGGGGGGGG
Molecule: long non-coding RNA, 672 nt
Organism: Rhopilema esculentum
Lineage: Eukaryota; Metazoa; Cnidaria; Scyphozoa; Rhizostomeae; Rhizostomatidae
Source: RefSeq, a predicted model, not a curated record